AUGGACCAAGUUUAUCUUUCAUUCAUCCACCCACGUGUUCAGAAGUCUCUCGAAUGUUCCAUGUGUUCCCACAGCCCCCUCCCCAUAGCCCUUCGCCUGCUUAGUGGCACCCACUGCCCUCCUCCUCUCCUCUCUCUGGGUCUGUCAAAACCUGCUCUCGGGAAAGAGGCUGAUAAAUCCAUUCACACUGAUAGCAGCUUAAUGUGUUCUCUCUCCCAGGAAUAUAAACAGUUUAACAGGGAACAAAGGGAAGAAGCCGGAUGUUGGGCUUCCGUCAUCGACAAGGGGUGUCCCCGAGAUCCCACAGCAAAGACUGGUGUUGCCCCCCAGGAUGCCGACAUGGCGCCCUCCCAGCCCCCACCACACCCACAUGGACGUGCAAGCCUCCCCAUGUGGAGAGCAGGCUCACAGCUGGGACCUCUCCACCGCAGCUCAGCUCCUGGCUGUCCAAAAGCCCCCUGUGCCAGCCCCAGCCGCACCUGCUCCCCCAGGAUGCCGACAUGGCGCCCUCCCAGCCCCCACCACACCCACAUGGACGUGCAAGCCUCCCCAUGUGGAGAGCAGGCUCACAGCUGGGACCUCUCCACCGCAGCUCAGCUCCUGGCUGUCCAAAAGCCCCCUGUGCCAGCACCAGCCGCACCUGCUCCCCAGGCAGCCAGCCCCCUGCCCACCAUCUGUGGCCAAGCUGAGGGCCUGAAGAGGGAGUCGGAGGAAAGCAGAGGUGGAUUCCUUACUGCUUGAGCCAUCGGGGAAGGCCCUGACUGAUCCAGCACAUCCUGACAAAUCCAACAAAUUAAUUCCUAACAAGUCCAGAGUGCACCCUCUUCCUCAGGCCUCUGAGAACCAAGCAGAAUGCAGGCUGGUCACCGCUGCUGCCAGAAACAGCUUCUUCUCCUGGAGCCUCUAUCCAGUCAGGAGCAGCUGCUACCAAGGGAGCUGAUGGAGCAGAGACCAGCUGGGCACUGCAGUGUCUGAUGUUCAUCUAUCUGUCUGUCUUGGUGCAGGAGGUGCCGAGAGCAGAGGGAGUCUGGUGGCAACCUGGCCUUGCUGAACUUCCUCCUGCCUGAUUCACAGAGAUAGAGCGAACUGGAAGAAGUUAAGUAUUGCUCCUUCUGCUGGCGUCGUGAGGAAAGAAAUGUCUAUGUGGGCUUGAAGAUGACACAGCAACUGGCCUCAGAAUCAGGAAGAGCACAGGAGUGGGUUCCAGAGGCCAGCCUCCCGGGGCCAUCAGCAGGAUGGCCNNNNNNNNNNNNNNNNNNNNNNNNNNNNNNNNNNNNNNNNNNNNNNNNNNNNNNNNNNNNNNNNNNNNNNNNNNNNNNNNNNNNNNNNNNNNNNNNNNNNAUGGUGGGUUGUACAGAGCGCCCCCCCUGCGGGGGGAAACAACGGCAUGGCCCCAUCCUCGUCAGCUUCUCCUUUGACUCCAGAAGGAAGAGUGACAGCCGUAAGCAGCAGCAGCUGAGAUACUGAACCCCAUGGUUCCAGUCAGAACAUAGAGGGGCAGGGGUGGUCGGACAGCCUAGUGAGGGAACCCUAGCAUAGGGUGCCUCGGAUGGGGAUCUUGUGGCAAAAGAGCUCUGAGAAGCCAGGGGCACAGGAAUCAGCCCCCCUGAGCCUGGAAAGGGACAGAAAGGCACCAGCACUGAACCAUCUCCCAUCAGAGUGUCCGUCAGAAUAUCCACGAUGAGGAGAGCCCUUGUCCUGGCUGGGCAUCCCACCACGGGUGCCAUUUAUUAGCCCUGUGGACUGGGGCAAGACCUGGUCUCUCUGAGCGUCAGACUUUCCUGAUCUGUGACAAGAUGCAGAGAGCAACGUUUGCCUCACAGGUUGCUGCAGCUUUAAGGCUCGCGGGGUGGGGUGGGGGGAGUGUCUGUGAGAGGCUUCAGAACGCAGGAAUGAUGAUUUUCAUUGCCCUACACUGCCGGCUGUCAGUGCUUUUAUGGUGUGUGGCGCUAGGACCCUGAUGCCCAAGUUGCCAGCAGUGGUUUGUAUCACAACAUUGUGUACACAAGGACUUUGGUCAGGAGGGACAGAAGCAAAGGGCCUUUCCUCCUAGAAGGGACUACCCCGGCCCCACCAGCAGAUGUGUAUGAAUCUACAGCAGCAUUCAUCAGUCCCCCCAGGGUCCAUCUGCUCGCAGAGAUGAGGCCUAAAAUUGAAGCAGCCAGGAUGGGAGUGCGUGCACACACAUGCACACACAGGGACACAGCAAUCCAUGGCUCUGCCAUCAAUUGUCCUUCCUUCCUAGGUGCUGGGCCUUCUCAGCUCACAGUCCACUAAAGGAUCAGUCUCUCCGGGUCUAACAUGUUGUGAUGGUAACUGGUUGAAGAAUUAAGAGAAAUGUCAGUACUGAAGGGACAAUUUUGCAUGGAUUAGUUUUGGUUUUCUGGGGAAAAGAUACUACUAAUGAUUUAUAUUUGGUAUCAUAUUUUAUGACUUAAAAAAGAGUGUCACAUACAUUGCUAUUUAAGCCACAUGGCACUCUUAGGAGAGGCAUACUAUUAUCUGAGUCUCCGAGAGUUGAAGGGAUUUUCCUUGUCUUCAUAUUUCAUGACCUUGAUAUUUUCAAACACUACCGUCCAAUUAUUUUGUAGAAUGUCCCUCAGUUUGGAUUUGGCUGAUGCUGCCUAAUGAGUGAAUUCAGGUUAAGCAUUUUUAUCAGGGAUGCUACAGCAAUGAUGCUGUAUUCUCAGUUCAUCUCCAAAGAGACGCAAAUGUUGAUUUGUUCUGUGUCAGUCAUGCUAACUUUCUUUUAUUUUUUAUUUUUUUGGCUGCACGCUAGCUUUUCUCUAGUUGAGGCGCCUACGGGCUUCUCUUGUUGCGACCCACGUGCUUCUCUAGUUACAGUGUGCACGGGCUUAGUUGCCCCAUGGCAUUUGGGGCCUUAGUUCCCCAAUCAGGGAUCAAACCCACGUCCCCUGCAUUGGAAGGCAGAUUCCUAACCACUGGACCUUGAUUCCCAUGGCCAGGGAAGUCCCCAGGCAUGCUAACUUUUAUCAGUUGGUGAGGAUCAUGUCAGCCAAAUUUCUCCACUGUAAAUACAGUUAUAAGUACUGUGGUUAUAGAUUAAUAAGCAUUUGUGGGGAGAUACGCUGAAACUGUGUAAAUAUCAGGUUCCUCAUCAAAUUUUCACCCACAGGUUUCAGCAGCCGUAUUCUUACCUAUUUAUUACUAUGAUGAUGACCAAAGGGUGAUUUUCUAAUUUCCUCUUUUCUGUCUUUAUCAAUUGGCAUUCCAGUGUAAAUUAGUGCCUUCCCUUCUCACCAUGUAUUUAUUUGUAUCUGUAUUAACUCAUCCAUUCCUGUUUUAAUCGGUGGGUUACUAUCAGUUCAGUUCAGUUCAGUCGCUCAGUCUUUGCGGCCCCAUGAAUCACAGCAUGCCAAGCCUCCCUGUCCAUCACCAUCGACGGGAGUUCACUUAAACUCACAUCCAUCCAGUAGGUGAUACCAUACUGAAUACUAAUACUAAAGUUAGUUACUUUGUUGCCUGAAUUGUCCCAGACUUGGCCUGCAUGUAUCCUUUCAAUCUAGAUUAUGUAUCCUUUUGUUUCCCUCAUUCUUUGAGCACUUCCAUACUUUCUUAGCACAAGGAGAUGCUCUAGGUUCAACUAUAAACUUUCAGGCUGAUCAGUCUUGGUUCUUUUUAGUGGAAAAUGGUCUUUAGAAAUAAAGAGCUGAGUGAUUGGUGUGUUCACUGCUAUUUGGGUAUCAUUGCUUAUAGGACCUCUCAGCAGACAGAAACAGAGAUAUGUAUGUACACACACAUGCACACGCGCACACACACCCCUACAUCUAUGUGCCUAUGUUUAAAACAUGGGCUCAAACUAAUUAUGCCCAUUCUGAUGGCUUAUUUCCUUUCUAUAAAUAUAACUCCUUUCACUAAGAAGCCAUGAGAAAUAUGGCUCCCAUUAUCCUCAACAUAUUAUUUUCUUAAGUCCUCUACUUGGAAACAAUCUCCUAACCAUACAGGCCAUAUUCUCUGCCCCAGCCUCACCAUACAUUCUGGUUGUACUGGCCAAAUUUUGACCCUAGUCUCACUGACCACAUCAGCUGUGCUAGCUGAAUCCUCCAUCUGUAUCAAAGGGAAAUAGGAGAGGAAGAGCACUUGUCAUAUUAAGGAUUGGAUUUAUCAAAGUUUGUCCUCAUCACAUAGCGAAAUCAGUUACAGUCAUUCAGACACAUCACAUAACCUAAAGAUAUUUCUUCCAAUAACAGAGCACCUUUAAUGUUUAUAAUAGAGCCGGUAUUUAUGAAAUUAUUUCUAGAUGAAUCUGA
Molecule: long non-coding RNA, 4271 nt
Filed under: Ovis aries (sheep)
Lineage: Eukaryota; Metazoa; Chordata; Mammalia; Artiodactyla; Bovidae
Description: lncRNA (ENSOARG00000025543.1)
Source: RNAcentral